Molecule: ribosomal RNA, 1415 nt
Filed under: Lactiplantibacillus plantarum
Lineage: Bacteria; Bacillati; Bacillota; Bacilli; Lactobacillales; Lactobacillaceae
Description: bacterial SSU rRNA
Rfam family: Bacterial small subunit ribosomal RNA
Source: RNAcentral
UGGUAUUGAUUGGUGCUUGCAUCAUGAUUUACAUUUGAGUGAGUGGCGAACUGGUGAGUAACACGUGGGAAACCUGCCCAGAAGCGGGGGAUAACACCUGGAAACAGAUGCUAAUACCGCAUAACAACUUGGACCGCAUGGUCCGAGCUUGAAAGAUGGCUUCGGCUAUCACUUUUGGAUGGUCCCGCGGCGUAUUAGCUAGAUGGUGGGGUAACGGCUCACCAUGGCAAUGAUACGUAGCCGACCUGAGAGGGUAAUCGGCCACAUUGGGACUGAGACACGGCCCAAACUCCUACGGGAGGCAGCAGUAGGGAAUCUUCCACAAUGGACGAAAGUCUGAUGGAGCAACGCCGCGUGAGUGAAGAAGGGUUUCGGCUCGUAAAACUCUGUUGUUAAAGAAGAACAUAUCUGAGAGUAACUGUUCAGGUAUUGACGGUAUUUAACCAGAAAGCCACGGCUAACUACGUGCCAGCAGCCGCGGUAAUACGUAGGUGGCAAGCGUUGUCCGGAUUUAUUGGGCGUAAAGCGAGCGCAGGCGGUUUUUUAAGUCUGAUGUGAAAGCCUUCGGCUCAACCGAAGAAGUGCAUCGGAAACUGGGAAACUUGAGUGCAGAAGAGGACAGUGGAACUCCAUGUGUAGCGGUGAAAUGCGUAGAUAUAUGGAAGAACACCAGUGGCGAAGGCGGCUGUCUGGUCUGUAACUGACGCUGAGGCUCGAAAGUAUGGGUAGCAAACAGGAUUAGAUACCCUGGUAGUCCAUACCGUAAACGAUGAAUGCUAAGUGUUGGAGGGUUUCCGCCCUUCAGUGCUGCAGCUAACGCAUUAAGCAUUCCGCCUGGGGAGUACGGCCGCAAGGCUGAAACUCAAAGGAAUUGACGGGGGCCCGCACAAGCGGUGGAGCAUGUGGUUUAAUUCGAAGCUACGCGAAGAACCUUACCAGGUCUUGACAUACUAUGCAAAUCUAAGAGAUUAGACGUUCCCUUCGGGGACAUGGAUACAGGUGGUGCAUGGUUGUCGUCAGCUCGUGUCGUGAGAUGUUGGGUUAAGUCCCGCAACGAGCGCAACCCUUAUUAUCAGUUGCCAGCAUUAAGUUGGGCACUCUGGUGAGACUGCCGGUGACAAACCGGAGGAAGGUGGGGAUGACGUCAAAUCAUCAUGCCCCUUAUGACCUGGGCUACACACGUGCUACAAUGGAUGGUACAACGAGUUGCGAACUCGCGAGAGUAAGCUAAUCUCUUAAAGCCAUUCUCAGUUCGGAUUGUAGGCUGCAACUCGCCUACAUGAAGUCGGAAUCGCUAGUAAUCGCGGAUCAGCAUGCCGCGGUGAAUACGUUCCCGGGCCUUGUACACACCGCCCGUCACACCAUGAGAGUUUGUAACACCCAAAGUCGGUGGGGUAACCUUUUAGGAACCAGCC